CCAUCUCCUCGCUCUCCGGCACCAUCACUUGCGACGCCGAGCUGAUCUCGUAGAUGGGCUUCUCAACCCCCUCGACCGGGUCAGCGCCGACGAUAAGCGCCGCCGAGCCGUCGCCGAAAAGGGCCUGGCCGAUGAGGUUCUCGAAGUGGUCGUCGUCGGGGCCACGGAAGAACAUGACGUUCACUUCGGAGGAGACCACCAACGCGCGGGCGCCCUUGUUGUUCUCGACGAGGUCCUUGGCCAACCGGAGCGCCGAGGCGCCGGCGUGGCAGCCCACGUUGUAGAGCAUCACGCGGCGGACGGAGGUGGGGAGGCCGAGCUUCUGGACCAGGCGGUAGUCGACGCCCGGGAGGUCCAACCCGGCGGCGGAGCAGAAGACCA
RNAcentral lists this long non-coding RNA (381 nucleotides) under Musa acuminata (dwarf banana). RNAcentral's name for it is "long non-coding RNA (MACU_LNC001035)". Lineage: Eukaryota; Viridiplantae; Streptophyta; Magnoliopsida; Zingiberales; Musaceae. The record is from RNAcentral.